AGUGAACGCUGGCGGUAGGCCUAACACAUGCAAGUCGAACGGCAGCACAGUAAGAGCUUGCUCUUACGGGUGGCGAGUGGCGGACGGGUGAGGAAUACAUCGGAAUCUACUUUUUCGUGGGGGAUAACGUAGGGAAACUUACGCUAAUACCGCAUAUGACCUACGGGUGAAAGCAGGGGAUCUUCGGACCUUGCGCGAUUGAAUUAGCCGAUGUCGGAUUAGCUAGUUGGCGGGGUAAAGGCCCACCAAGGCGACGAUCCGUAGCUGGUCUGAGAGGAUGAUCAGCCACACUGGAACUGAGACACGGUCCAGACUCCUACGGGAGGCAGCAGUGGGGAAUAUUCGACAAUGGGCGCAAGCCUGAUCCAGCCAUACCGCGUGAGUGAAGAAGGCCUUCGGGUUGUAAAGCCCUUUUGUUGGGAAAGAAAAGCAGCAGGUUAAUACCCCGCUGUUCUGACGGUACCCAAAGAAUAAGCACCGGCUAACUUCGUG
Molecule: ribosomal RNA, 492 nt
Filed under: uncultured bacterium
Lineage: Bacteria
Description: partial 16S ribosomal RNA
Rfam family: Bacterial small subunit ribosomal RNA
Source: RNAcentral